CACCACCCCUUUCUCAACUUCAUAUCCCUCAUCUCCAGUACCACCCCUUUCUCAACUUCAUAUUCCUCACCUCCAGCACCACCCCAAAAUUGCACAUUUCUGUAGUCAGAAAGAUAGUUUCCAAUUAGUACACAAUUAAUUGGAAAUUGGCAAUACUUCCUCAUAAUUGGUUAAAAUCACGAUGCACACCGAUGAUGUCACUGGAAACAUUUCACUUCCAUCUUUUUUUUACUACAAAAAAUAGAAACGUGACAUUUUCACAUAUGUUGAUGUUGGGGUGGUGCUGGAGAUGAUGAAUAUGAAGCUGAAAAUGUUACAAAUAUCCCUUUAAAGAAUUUCACAUCAGAACCAUUAGAGCCACAGGAGGCACAUGCAGUCGCUUUCUCAAGAUCAAAUCACCUCAGACCAGAGCAGAGCUUUGAACGGAAAAUUACACAUAAUUCUUAAAGAUGAAAGAAAAUAAUGAACCCCUCUUCCUCACCAAUAACAAUGCUCUGGUUUGUUCUAUUUUUAGAUUUGAAUGUUCACGCUGUGGACAACACCGUCUGACUGGGUAUAAACCAAACUGUAAUCUCCACUAGCCUGGGGGAGCCUGUCUUCUCGUCUUUCCUAUUUAUUCCCUUGUUGAUUUAGUUUAAGAAAGAAUGCGCUGUGGGAGAGAAAACUCUGUCUGGAUGUAAUAUUUUGCUUGUGGCGAGUCUUCUCUUUCUUCAUGGAAGAAAACUAUUAAAAUAUUGUGCUGACAAAAACCACAAUGACAAAUGAAGAUGAGUGAUGUUGAUCUCCCCAGCCUCCCUAACGGUCUGUCUGGAGAAAGACUGAGGGAGGAGAGAGAGGAAGGAGAAGGACAGAAAGAGGAAAGAGUGAGAGAGGAGCGGGUGAGAGAGUCAAAGAAAGAGUCGAAGAAAGAGAGUGGGAUAGAGGUGCAGGAGAAAGAGGGAGACAAGAGACAGACUUCGACAGAGCGAGAGAGAGAGAGAUUCAGAUGAUGAGGAACAGACGUGGUUAAUGAGAGUCACAGGUCAUCAUGCUGCUCCGCCAACACAGAGAGAACCAGAGACAGAGAUGUCUUCUUCAGACACUGAACAGAUUGAGCCUGAUCUGAUCUUCAUGCGUCACUAGUUUUUACACAGGAGACAAAUGAAGAUGGGAGGAGGGAGGUGGAGGGAUGAAAGAGAGAGAGAGGGGGGGAAAAGAGGGAUGAUGGAGGGAUCUUAACAUCACUUAGGAGAGAAAGAGAGAGAGGGGGGGAUGAUGGAGGGAUCUUAACAUCACUUAGGAGAGAAAGAGAGAGAGGGGGGUACAGAUAGAGGGAUGAUGGAGGGAUCUUAACAUCACUUAGGAGAGAAAGAGAAAGGGGGGGGGGGGUGCAGAUAGAGGGAUGAUGGAGGGAUCUUAACAUCACUUAGGAGAGAAAGAGAGAGGGGGUGCAGAUAGAGGGAUCUUAACAUCACUUAGGAGAGAAAGAGAGAGGGGGUGCAGAUAGAGGGAUGAUGGAGGGAUCUUAACAUCACUUAGGAGAGAAAGAGAGAGAGGGGGUGCAGAUAGAGGGAUGAUGGAGGGAUCUUAACAUCACUUAGGAGAGAAAGAGAGAGAGAGGGGGGUGCAGAUAGAGGGAUGAUGGAGGGAUCUUAACAUCACUUAGGAGAGAAAGAGAGAGGGGGUGCAGAUAGAGUGAUGAUGGAGGAUCAAAAUGGCAGUCAGGAGAAAGAGGGAAAGGCACCUGAGUUAGACAGGGUCCUGGGAAGGGUGCCAUGUGGUCUGAGGGAGGAGGGGGGCCAGCCUGAGCCUGAUCUGAUCCCACAGGCAACACCUAAUAAACAGAGGGAUGAAGAGAGGGAUGAAACAGAGAGAAGAGGAGAGAUAGGAGAACAUAAUGCACUGCAGCCACAUGCAGCUGGAAGGACAGGGGAUUCUACCUGCUGCUCUCUGACACUGACUGGGACAUUAGACAAUAAACAAAGACUGUAGUGUUACUUAAGAAAUAAGGCCCGAGGAGGUGUGGUAUAUGGCCAAUAUACCAAGCGUAAGAACUAUUCUUAUGCACGAUGCAACGUGGAGUGCCUGGAUACAGCCGUUAGCCAUGGUAUAUUGGCCAUAUAGCACCUUUGGGCUCCUGAGUGGCGCAGCGGUCAAAGGCACUGCAUCUCAGCGCUUGAGGCGUCACUACAGACGCCCUGGUUCGAUUCCAGGCUGUACCACAAAUGGUCGUGAUUGGGAGUCCCAUAGGGUGGCGCACAAUUGGCCCAGCGUCGUCCAGGUUUGGCCGGUGUAGGCCGUCAUUGUAAAUAAGAAUUUGUUCUUAACUGACUUGCCUAGUUCAAUAAAGGUUAAAUAAAUACUAAUGUACCACGAACCUCCAGGGUGCCUAAUUGCUAUUAUAAACUGGGUGGGUCGAGCCCUGAAUGCUGAUUGGCUGACAGCCGUGGUAUAUCAGACCGUAUAACACGGGUAUGACAAAACAUUUUUACUCCUCUAAUUACAUUGGUAACUGGUUUAUAAUAGCAGUAAGGCACGCUGGGGGUUAUCAUGGCAAAG
Molecule: long non-coding RNA, 2538 nt
Organism: Oncorhynchus tshawytscha (Chinook salmon)
Lineage: Eukaryota; Metazoa; Chordata; Actinopteri; Salmoniformes; Salmonidae
Source: Ensembl